Rhodocollybia butyracea is the source of this 114-nucleotide non-coding RNA. NCBI's taxonomy places the organism in Eukaryota, Fungi, Basidiomycota, Agaricomycetes, Agaricales, Omphalotaceae. The record is from the annotation of a GenBank genome assembly.
ACAGGUAUGGCUGAGUUGGAUAAAGCACCAGAACUCUAACAAAACAUCUGACUCUGAGAUUAGAUUGAGUGAGGGUUUACCUUGAGGUCGUGGGUUCAAGUCCUACGGGUUGUA